Molecule: long non-coding RNA, 743 nt
Organism: Myxocyprinus asiaticus (Chinese sucker)
Lineage: Eukaryota; Metazoa; Chordata; Actinopteri; Cypriniformes; Catostomidae
Exons: 3
Source: RefSeq, a predicted model, not a curated record
AUCAGCAGAAAGAGGUGGGAAAAGGAUUGUAUGCAGAAAAGUGUGUGUGCAGUAUCUCAUACUGGAGGUGUGCAGCUGUGGGGAGUAUCUGAAGCUUCUCUGUGAAUGUUAUGGUGUUCUUUCACUAUGUCAGCAGAGUCUGGUGCCCAUAUACACAAUACAAGGCCUUGAACAGAGUCUGCCACAGCUGGGCAUCACAUAAAGUGCUGCUAAAUUGUGAAGAAAACCCACAUUGGCUAUGUAUCCUUUACUUUCCAGAGCACCUUCUGGAAAAUCUGUCCCAGGGUGUUUCCCUGCCUUCAGCUCAAGACAGCUGGGAUAGGCUCCAGGACUUCCUGUGACCCUACAUAGGACAAGCGGCUUUAGAAGAUUGAUGAAUGGAUGGAUGGACUACUGACAUUUACUCAAAUUAGCGAAUAAAUAUGACAAGGUUUUCUACUUUAGGAUUGGUACAUGAUGACGUAUUGUAAAAAUAACAAAUAAUCAUAAAUAAUAUUUACUUAUAAGCUAAGCAUUCAUUUGACAUUUGAAUUAAAAACACAUGCAGUAUUUACUUAAUAUUUUCAAGUUCAUGCUUAAACUAUUUUAUUCAAUGUAGAAAGUACUUAAUCUUUUCUGUUAUAUUUACUUCACCACAAAAUCAUUUUUUCAGUGCAGUGCAUAAUCAUGUAUUAAGUACUAAGUAUUAAGUUAAUACUCAGUUCUUUUGUAAUUGUGUGUUUCUUCAACUUUGGGCACUUUUG